This is a long non-coding RNA of Labeo rohita (rohu), 470 nucleotides long. RefSeq lists it as uncharacterized. NCBI's taxonomy places the organism in Eukaryota, Metazoa, Chordata, Actinopteri, Cypriniformes, Cyprinidae. The record is from RefSeq and is a predicted model, not a curated record. The transcript is spliced from 3 exons.
UGACUUGCAUUAUAUAGACGGAAACAGGUGCACCACUCUUCACUCUUCUUUUGUCUUACACAGAAGAAAGAAAGGACGGACUGAGCGACGCACAGUAGUCGUAUUGAACAUCUUAGCACUCGCAUACCAACAUACUACAAAAAACUCAAAACACCUUUGUGACCACAUAGCAACGCCCUGGCAACCAUCCACAGCACUCUGGCACCGUGGCAGCGACUUUUGCACUGAUGCAGAUACAGAAGAUCUGUUUCCAUGCCUAAUGUACAGUUGUGUGAAAAGCAAGAGCUAAUGAAGAUGUUAAAAUAAGCAUUUCAACCAGCGCCGGUCCCGUGAAUUAGCAUAUCUGCCAGUUCACGCUGUCUGGUCUCUCCUCAUGUUUUGAUGUGUUGGAUGUGUGUGGGAGGAAAGGCAACAGGGUGUGCGUGUGACCAGCAGAAGAGUGUGUAUCUGAAGUGCUGGGUGAGUACAAA